Vicia villosa (hairy vetch) is the source of this 2594-nucleotide long non-coding RNA. RefSeq lists it as uncharacterized. Lineage: Eukaryota; Viridiplantae; Streptophyta; Magnoliopsida; Fabales; Fabaceae. The record is from RefSeq and is a predicted model, not a curated record. The transcript has 10 exons.
AAAACAACCAAACAAACACAGAAGAAAAUACUUGCCGACACCGAUACGAGAACACGACCAAGCCGAACACGAUUUGCGAACUUGGAGGAACAACGAAAUUGCAGCUUGUGAGCACUACAAAGAACGGAUCCGAGAAACGAUUGUAAGCACCAGAAAUCACAAUCGCAAGCCGGGAAGUGAUUACCAAGAAUCGAGAUCUGCCGAGAUGAUUUCAAGAGCGACCCAGUGGGGUGUUGCCGAAUAAAGCCAAGACUAACCUAAAACUCACAGGUUUGGUGAUGUUGGCUCACACGGAAGGGGGAAGAUUCGUCGGUGGUGGUGAGAUUUAUGGGUUUGGUUGACAUCAGUGUUUAUCUUUCUCGCAAACUUGUGGCGGUCUUUUUCUUCCUCGCAAACUUAAUCAUCUUCGUUACAAGAUUUUAGGGUUCCUUCCUCUUUCACGUUUGACCCACCAGGUUUUGAAAUUUGGGAACAAACAACAACUAUAUAUGCAUGGUGAUCAUGUGAUUUUUAAUGUUGAAGAAAGUUGGCAAAUGGCUAAGUUUUAUAGCAACAAGGGAAAUACGCCUGGUCUUUUCAAUUUGGGAAAUAUCCGUUAUAUGAAUUCAACAUUGCAAUGCCUCUAUUCUGGUCCAGUUUUCAAGUGUGGGAUACCGGGAUCGGUGUUUGUCUCUCUUUUCUCAUGCUUUUUAUUUUCAACAGGAUCCUUACAAAAGCAUAUUAAGGGCGUGUGUGGAGCAACCGUAACAUGGUAAACACCGGCGUGGAUUGAUGAAGAAGCACAACAGAUUUCUUAUCGACAAAAGCAUUUAGCGAAUACUGUGCCUCUGGAUUAUUGGCCUUGACCAGAGUGGGAAGCCGAAGAGUCAUCCAUAUAUCAGCCGGUUUUAUGAUUUUCUUCUCUGUAUUUGCGCGACAUCGACAAAUCUGCGGACAUGGAAAAUAAUAGCGUUCUCUCCAAGGACAUGGAACCGCGGUGUCGACGAAUCCGUCAUCCAAGAAAUCCCAACGUUCCAGUUCACAAAAGGGGCAGGCGGAGAUGAUUAUCGAAGUGUCAAAGGUUGUGUGGUUUGUUUGAAUUCUUUUCAAGAACAAAAGGAGCAGCCAAUUAAUGAAGUCCAACACGACACACUGCCCUUGCAGCCCAAAUCUGAGGUCCAUCGAAAAUCUCUAUCACUAUAGGUCUUUAAUCUUUCUUUGCAAUACUAACAAAUAUAUUUCUAUUUCUUAACUGACUUAUUUCAUUUAAACUCACCUAUUAUAUGAUUCAAAGCAGAAUCCGGGUACAAGUUCUGGCAUAAAUGCAUCUGAUGAAAUUCUUAAAGCUACCCCUCCUGUUUCAUUUUUGCAGUAUGCUUUAUUUCCCAACCCUUCUGAAAUUAAGGAAAAAAACUGGUGUCAUUGACAUGUUGUCGAGUUUGGGAUAUGUAAUUGUAUUUGCUAAUUUAGUACUUUAUGGGACAGGUCUGGAUUUUGAAUUGUUAUAGCUGAGUUUCUGUGAUGAUUUGGUUUUAAUGGUAGAAUUUGUUAGUGAACUGUUUUGAUAGUUGUAGAAAGGGAAGAGUCCCGCUUUGUGCCCAAAUACCAUUCAAUAGCAAAAACUGUUAUUCUCUCUGUAUUUCCUCUAUGCAAUUAUCUUAGCUCUACCAUAAUGUAUCCUGGAAAAAUCACAUUGGUGUUGCCUAUAGGCAAAGAACAUUGAAUACACGAUGUGCCAAAUACUGGUCGAAGAUAAAUUUUUAUUGGGUGUUCAAUGGCUUUUAAAACCUGUUGGAACUGUGGUCCAAAAUUCCAAUUCCAUUGUUGAGAAUUCAAAGUGUUUUUUGGCCACUAAAACUCUCUUUUCAAGGUUCAAUCUAUAUAUGCUUAUAGUUUUUUUUAUGACACAUGACAGGUAAUCACAAGGUUUCCACCAUUUGAUGAAGGAUCUCGCUUGAACUAUCAUCAUCUCGAAGAUUACUUGGCACUUCUUGGAAAGGUACUGAAUGCUGGUGAUGAUGCAUUUGGGUUAGAGAAACUAGAAGAAGAUUCCGAUGAACUAGCUCUUAAGAAUGCCCUUCGUUCUUAAUAUGGAGAACAGGACUAUGUGCGUGUAAUAGGUGAUGCUGGUGCCAACUUAUAUCCCAGCAGCAAUGCUGAAGUAGACUAAAAUGAACCUGAAGGUGCAUAUAAUUCUCUUUGUUCAAAGUUGAUUAAGGACAACAACGAGUUCGAAGUUUCCGCAAAGGAAACUUGGGAAAUAAGACUUGGUGAAUGCUUUGGAACGAUUGCAGAAAAGAAAUGUGUCAGCAUUGGGUACUCCAUUGAUAAAUUAAGCAAUAAGGAUUUGUGAUGUUAUUCUCAAUUGUAUUGAGUGGUAAUAUAUCAUUUUUUAUUGUUGAAAUUUGUUCACGUUAGUAUGUACUAUGUCUUAUGGGAGAACAAGUUCUUCAAUGCAUGAAUUUGUUAAAGUAUGGAUUAUGCAGGUUCCAAAUGUAAAAUGGGACGAUGUUGGUUGGCUUGAAGAUGUCAAAACUUCAAUCCUAGAUACAGUGGUUAUGUAUACAUGGUCUACAUUUCAUAAAUGUCACAUGUCAUAAGCUGAUUGAGUUGAA